Molecule: ribosomal RNA, 293 nt
Filed under: uncultured bacterium
Lineage: Bacteria
Description: partial 16S ribosomal RNA
Rfam family: Archaeal small subunit ribosomal RNA
Source: RNAcentral
GUGCCAGCAGCCGCGGUAAUACCGGCAGCCCGAGUGAUGGCCGAUCUUAUUGGGCCUAAAGCGUCCGUAGCUGGCCAGACAAGUCCGUUGGGAAAUCCACGCGCUCAACGCGUGGGCGUCCAGCGGAAACUAUCUGGCUUGGGGCCGGAAGACUCGAGGGGUACGUUCGGGGUAGGAGUGAAAUCCCAUAAUCCCGCACGGACCACCGAUGGCGAAAGCACUUCGAGAAAACGGAUCCGACAGUGAGGGACGAAAGCCAGGGUCUCCAACCGGAUUAGAUACCCGAGUAGUCC